RNAcentral lists this long non-coding RNA (432 nucleotides) under Physcomitrium patens. RNAcentral describes it as "long non-coding RNA (PPAT_LNC010154)". Lineage: Eukaryota; Viridiplantae; Streptophyta; Bryopsida; Funariales; Funariaceae. The record is from RNAcentral.
GUUUGGAUUAGGAUUUAGGGUUUGAUUAGGAUUUGAUUUAGGAUUUGGAUUAGGGUUUGAUUUAAGGUUUGGUUUAGGAUUUAGGGUUUGAAUUAGGAUUUAGGAUUGGAUUAGAGUUUAGAUUAGGGCUUAGGUUUUGAAAUAGGGUUUGAUUUAUGGUUUAAUUUAAGGUUUGUUUAGGAUUUAACUUAGGGUUUAGGAUUUAUUAGGGUUUAAGAUUUAAUUAGGUUUGGUCUAAAGUUUGAAAAAAAUUCAAUAGGAUUUUAAUUAGAAUUAACUUAAUAUUGAAUUGACAUAUAUUUGAGUAAUAUUUGUGAUCAUUCUAAUAUAUCUUUAGGAAUUUUAUUAUUUAUUUGAAAUUUCUUUGAGUUUUUUUGAAUUUGAUUGCGUUUGAUUACCAUUAUUAUAGUCUAAUUAGAGCAUUCUUAGUAU